GCAGGCUGCAACCCGCCCUGCAUGAAGUCGGAAUUGCUAGUAAUCGCAGAUCAGCAUGCCGCGGUGAAUACGUUCCCGGGCCUUGUACACACCGCCCGUCACACCAUGGGAGCCGGUAAUACCCGAAGUCAGUAGUCCAACCUCGUGAGGACGCUGCCGAAGGUAGGAUUGGCGACUGGGGUGAAGUCGUAACAAGGUACC
Molecule: ribosomal RNA, 201 nt
Filed under: uncultured bacterium
Lineage: Bacteria
Description: partial 16S ribosomal RNA
Rfam family: Bacterial small subunit ribosomal RNA
Source: RNAcentral